This 602-nucleotide ribosomal RNA is filed under the name Parabacteroides distasonis. Its description in RNAcentral is "partial 23S ribosomal RNA". It matches the Rfam family "Bacterial large subunit ribosomal RNA", at positions 2326 to 2925 of the family's 2925-position model. The record is from RNAcentral. Lineage: Bacteria; Pseudomonadati; Bacteroidota; Bacteroidia; Bacteroidales; Tannerellaceae.
CAUGGACGGAAACCAUGCCAGAGAGUGUAAACGCACAAGCCAGCCUAACUGCGAGAGCGACAGUUCGAGCAGUAACGAAAGUUGGAGUUAGUGAUCCGGUGGUAUGUGAGUGGAAAUGCCAUCGCUCAACGGAUAAAAGCUACCCUGGGGAUAACAGGCUGAUCUCCCCCAAGAGUCCACAUCGUCGGGGAGGUUUGGCACCUCGAUGUCGGCUCAUCGCAUCCUGGGGCUGAAUUCGGUCCCAAGGGUUUGGCUGUUCGCCAAUUAAAGCGGUACGCGAGCUGGGUUCAGAACGUCGUGAGACAGUUCGGUCCCUAUCUGUCGUGGGCGCAGGAUAUUUGAGAGGAGCUGUCCCUAGUACGAGAGGACCGGGAUGGACGUACCUCUGGUGCACCAGUUGUCGUGCCAACGGCACAGCUGGGCAGCUAAGUACGGAUCGGAUAAACGCUGAAGGCAUCUAAGCGUGAAGCCGACCUCAAGAUAAGAUAUGCCACUGAGUAAUCAGGUAAGACCCCUUGAAGACUACAAGGUUGAUAGGCCGCAUGUGGAAGCGUCGUGAGGCGUGCAGCAAGGCGGUACUAAUCGGUCGAGGGCUUGACCAG